RNAcentral lists this small RNA (571 nucleotides) under Pongo abelii (Sumatran orangutan). RNAcentral's name for it is "retained intron". Lineage: Eukaryota; Metazoa; Chordata; Mammalia; Primates; Hominidae. The record is from RNAcentral.
GACGCAGAACCGAGAGUCCGAGUCUCCCUACGGCCAGCGCUUGACUUUGUCGCUGUCCAGCCCCCAGCUCCUGUCUUCAGGCUCCUCGGCCUCUUCUGUGUCUUCACUUUCUGGGAGUGACGUUGAUUCAGACACACCACCCUGCACAACGCCCAGUGUUUACCAGUUCAGUCUGCAAGCACCAGCUCCUCUCAUGGCCGGCUUACCCACCGCCUUGCCAAUGCCCAGUGGCAAACCUCAGCCCACCACUUCCAGAACACUGAUCAUGACAACCAACAAUCAGGUACGUGGCCCUCUGGCACCCUUCCCGCUGGUGGCCCCUGGGAACAGCAUCCGAGCUGUGAUACGCACUAGAGAAGACAGAUGGUCCUUUGAAUUAGAAGAGUAACUUUUUGAGUCUUUGGCCAUUGCUGUGUUGUUCUGUGAAAUCCUCUGUUUUGUGGUGUUGAGGUCCCCCAUGUAUAGUUUCAGCAGCGAGGAGACUGGUUCUUGAGUGCUGCUGUGGCUUUUCGCGGGGGCCAGGUCGACUGCCCUCCUGCAAGUUUCCUCACUGCCCCAGCAUGAGAUUGCU